UACGUAGGGUGCAAGCGUUAAUCGGAAUUACUGGGCGUAAAGCGUGCGCAGGCGGUUGUGCAAGACAGAUGUGAAAUCCCCGGGCUUAACCUGGGAAUUGCAUUUGUGACUGCACGGCUAGAGUGUGUCAGAGGGGGGUAGAAUUCCACGUGUAGCAGUGAAAUGCGUAGAUAUGUGGAGGAAUACCGAUGGCGAAGGCAGCCCCCUGGGAUAACACUGACGCUCAUGCACGAAAGCGUGGGGAGUAAACAGG
RNAcentral lists this ribosomal RNA (253 nucleotides) under uncultured bacterium. RNAcentral describes it as "partial 16S ribosomal RNA". It matches the Rfam family "Bacterial small subunit ribosomal RNA", at positions 524 to 776 of the family's 1533-position model. The record is from RNAcentral.